RNAcentral lists this ribosomal RNA (221 nucleotides) under uncultured bacterium. RNAcentral's name for it is "partial 16S ribosomal RNA". It matches the Rfam family "Bacterial small subunit ribosomal RNA", at positions 524 to 745 of the family's 1533-position model. The record is from RNAcentral.
UACGAAGGGGCUAGCGUUGUUCGGAUUUACUGGGCGUAAAGCGCACGUAGGCGGAUCGUUAAGUCGGGGGUGAAAUCCUGGAGCUCAACUCCAGAACUGCCUUCGAUACUGGCGAUCUUGAGUCCGGAAGAGGUGAGUGGAACUCCUAGUGUAGAGGUGGAAUUCGUAGAUAUUAGGAAGAACACCAGUGGCGAAGGCGGCUCACUGGUCCGGUACUGACG